AUUUGACCUUCAAGAAAUUGAAAGUCGCCUAAAGGCCCUCAUAAAAGAAGCGAAUGAGGGAAGAAUAAAAGACUAGAUGGUAAUGUUUUAUCACCCGUAGAGACUACACGUUAACCUCCCAAUGAAAAUUUGCAUCCGCAAAUUGAAUCGGGAUGAUGAUAUAGUCCAAUGCACAUAGUAAUAUGUGG
Molecule: non-coding RNA, 188 nt
Filed under: Parcubacteria group bacterium GW2011_GWA2_47_10
Lineage: Bacteria
Source: RNAcentral